Non-coding RNA from Hordeum vulgare subsp. vulgare (domesticated barley), 132 nucleotides. The record is from Rfam. Lineage: Eukaryota; Viridiplantae; Streptophyta; Magnoliopsida; Poales; Poaceae.
UUACUACUCCCUCCGUCCCAAAAUUAUUUUUUUAGGUUUGUCUAGAAAUGGAUGUAUCAAAAUACUAAAACAUGACUAGAUACAUUCAUAUCUAAACAAAUAUAAGACAAGAAGGGACGAAGGGAGUACAAA